GAUAACGUCUCCUGCCUACAUCGAGUGUAGUUCAAAAACACAGGAGAACGUGAAGGCAGUGUUUGAUGCAGCCAUUACGGUGGUGCUACAACCUCCGAAGAAAAAAAGAAGAAGAAAAAGGCACAUGGUGGUUGCUCAAUAUUAUGAUUGACGGAAGAUUCGAGUCUGACAAAUAUAGAUCUGUACUGUCAGCUCAACAUUCAAAGAAGUAGCAAAGCCAUCGUGUAUAUUCUCUCAAGUUUAAGCUGACAUUGUUGGGGUUCCUUCAGGAA
This is a long non-coding RNA of Hibiscus syriacus, 272 nucleotides long. RefSeq lists it as uncharacterized. Lineage: Eukaryota; Viridiplantae; Streptophyta; Magnoliopsida; Malvales; Malvaceae. The transcript has 2 exons. The record is from RefSeq and is a predicted model, not a curated record.